RNAcentral lists this ribosomal RNA (416 nucleotides) under uncultured bacterium. Its description in RNAcentral is "partial 16S ribosomal RNA". It matches the Rfam family "Bacterial small subunit ribosomal RNA", at positions 355 to 762 of the family's 1533-position model. The record is from RNAcentral.
UGGGGAAUAUUGGACAAUGGGCGAAAGCCUGAUCCAGCCAUGCCGCGUGUGUGAAGAAGGUCUUCGGAUUUAAAGCACUUUAAAGUUGGGAGGAAGGGCAGUAAGCUAAUACCUUGCUGUUUUGACGUUACCGACAGAAUAAGCACCGGGCUAACUUCGUGCCAGCAGCCGCGGUAAUACGAAGGGUGCAAGCGUUAAUCGGAAUUACUGGGCGUAAAGCGCGCGUAGGUGGUUCGUUAAGUUGGAUGUGAAAGCCCCGGGNUCAACCUGGGAACCGCAUCCAAAACUGGCGAGCUAGAGUACGGUAGAGGGUGGUGGAAUUCCCUGUGUAGCGGUGAAAUGCGUAGAUAUAGGAAGGAACACCAGUGGCGAAGGCGACCACCUGGACUGAUACUGACACUGAGGUGCGAAAGCGU